Molecule: non-coding RNA, 85 nt
Organism: Coccidioides immitis RS
Lineage: Eukaryota; Fungi; Ascomycota; Eurotiomycetes; Onygenales; Onygenaceae
Source: Rfam
GAGAGCCGUAUGCAGUGAAAGUUGCACGUACGGUUCGGAGGGAGGCUGAUCGUUGCCACUUGCGGGUGCGGGCAGUCGACCCUAC